This 1145-nucleotide long non-coding RNA is filed under the name Pan troglodytes (chimpanzee). Its description in RNAcentral is "long non-coding RNA NONPTRT015731". The record is from RNAcentral. Lineage: Eukaryota; Metazoa; Chordata; Mammalia; Primates; Hominidae.
UUUAAGUCUUUAAUCCAUCUUGAAUUAAUUUUUGUAUAAGGUGUAAGGAAGGGAUCCAGUUUCAGCUUUCUACAUAUGGCUAGCCAGUUUUACAGUGCCAUAUAAUUGGUCCCAUCUAGUAUGCAGCUUUUUCAGACUAGCUCUUUCACUUAGCAAACCCAGGUAUUAAGCCUAGUACCAUUAGUUAUUUUUCCUGAUCCUCCCCCUCCUCCCACCUUCCACCUCCCCAUCAAAAGGCCCCAGUGUGUGUUGUUCUUUCUACUCUAUGUGUCCAUGUGUUCUCACCAUUUAGCUCCCACUUAUAGGUGAGAACUUGUGGUAUUUGGUUUUCUGUUCCUAUGUUAGUUUGCUAAGGAUAAUGGCCUCCAGCUCCACCCAUGUCCUUGCAAAGGACGUGAUCCUGUUCUUUUUUAAUGGCUGCAUAGUAUUCCAUUGUGUAAACGUACCAUACUUUAAAAACUGAAUAAAUAAUUAACAACUUCCCAAAAGAAAAAUCACCAUAAAGCCCACAAAAAUGAGACAUUCUAAAAUUGUUGAUUAGAUUAAAUUAAUUGAUGGGGCUAUUCAAUUCAUCUAUAUUCUCAAUGAUUUUCUAUCUGCUGGAUCUAUUGUCUACUGAAAGAAGAGUAUUGAAUCUCCAUAUAUAUGACAUAUGUAUAUAUGACAGAAAAUUCUAAUUCCUCCCAUUGCUGAUGAUAUUUCUGUUACUCAUUCACUGAUUUGUAUACUAUAAUCACCCAACACAUUAUUACUGUUACUUUUAAAAAGGUUAUCUUUUAGAUUAAGAAUAAGAAAAAUAAAUGAUUUUAUUUAAUCAUUAUUUAUUCCUUUUCUGAUAUUCUUUUCUUUUUAAUGGAGAUCCAAGUUCCUGAUGGAUAUAAUUUUCCUUUUCCCUGAAGAACCUCUUUUAAAAUUUUUUUGCUGACAGGUCUUUUGAUGGUGUAUUUUCUCAGUUUUUGUUUGUCUGAAAGUCUUUAUUUCUGCUUCACUGUUGAAGGAGAAGGUUAAGUUUGCUGGAUACAGAAUUUCUGUUUGGGAGGUUUUUUUAAAUUUUAAAUAUUCACUAUUCUCUCUUCCUGCUUGAAUGGAAUCACCAUGCUGUGUUUCUCACUGUAACUCCUUGUUCUUUGCUAGGUACAGUGGUU